AGCGAACGCUGGCGGCAGGCUUAACACAUGCAAGUCGAGCGGGCCUUUCGGGGUCAGCGGCGGACGGGUGAGUAACGUGUGGGAACGUGCCCUCUGGUUCGGAAUAACUCAGGGAAACUUGAGCUAAUACCGGAUACGCCCUUUUGGGGAAAGGCUUGCUGCCGGAGGAUCGGCCCGCGUCUGAUUAGCUAGUUGGUGAGGUAACGGCUCACCAAGGCGACGAUCAGUAGCUGGUCUGAGAGGAUGAUCAGCCACACUGGGACUGAGACACGGCCCAGACUCCUACGGGAGGCAGCAGUGGGGAAUAUUGGACAAUGGGCGCAAGCCUGAUCCAGCCAUGCCGCGUGAGUGAUGAAGGCCUUAGGGUUGUAAAGCUCUUUUAUCCGGGACGAUAAUGACGGUACCGGAGGAAUAAGCCCCGGCUAACUUCGUG
This 433-nucleotide ribosomal RNA is filed under the name uncultured bacterium. RNAcentral describes it as "partial 16S ribosomal RNA". It matches the Rfam family "Bacterial small subunit ribosomal RNA", at positions 29 to 507 of the family's 1533-position model. The record is from RNAcentral.